RNAcentral lists this ribosomal RNA (492 nucleotides) under uncultured bacterium. RNAcentral describes it as "partial 16S ribosomal RNA". It matches the Rfam family "Bacterial small subunit ribosomal RNA", at positions 29 to 507 of the family's 1533-position model. The record is from RNAcentral.
AGUGAACGCUGGCGGUAGGCCUAACACAUGCAAGUCGAACGGCAGCACAGUAAGAGCUUGCUCUUACGGGUGGCGAGUGGCGGACGGGUGAGGAAUACAUCGGAAUCUACUUUUUCGUGGGGGCUAACGUAGGGAAACUUACGCUAAUACCGCAUACGACCUACGGGUGAAAGCAUGGGAUCUUCGGACCUUGCGCGACUGAAUGAGCCGAUGUCGGAUUAGCUAGUUGGCGGGGUAAAGGCCCACCAAGGCGACGAUCCGUAGCUGGUCUGAGAGGAUGAUCAGCCACACUGGAACUGAGACACGGUCCAGACUCCUACGGGAGGCAGCAGUGGGGAAUAUUGGACAAUGGGCGCAAGCCUGAUCCAGCCAUACCGCGUGGGUGAAGAAGGCCUUCGGGUUGUAAAGCCCUUUUGUUGGGAAAGAAAAGCAGCAGGUUAAUACCCCGCUGUUCUGACGGUACCCAAAGAAUAAGCACCGGCUAACUUCGUG